This 355-nucleotide ribosomal RNA is filed under the name Culex quinquefasciatus (southern house mosquito). RNAcentral's name for it is "partial 16S ribosomal RNA". The stretch from base 1 to 153 matches the Rfam family "Archaeal large subunit ribosomal RNA", at positions 1899 to 2097 of the family's 2987-position model. Lineage: Eukaryota; Metazoa; Arthropoda; Insecta; Diptera; Culicidae. The record is from RNAcentral.
UCAAAAACAUGUCUUUUUGAAUUAAAUUUAAAGUCUAACCUGCCCACUGAUAUAAAUUAAAGGGCCGCAGUAUUUUGACUGUGCGAAGGUAGCAUAAUCACUAGUCUUUUAAUUGGAGGCUUGUAUGAAUGGUUGAAUGAGAUAUAUACUGUCUUUUUUAAAAUUAUAUAGAAUUUUAUUUUUUAAUUAAAAAGUUAAAAUAAAAUUAAAGGACGAGAAGACCCUAUAGAUCUUUAUUUUUGUUAUUUAUAAAUUAAAAAGAAUUUUAAAAUUUAUAAUUUAAUAAAAAAUUUUAUUGGGGUGAUAUUAAAAUUUAAAAAACUUUUAAAAUUUAUUAACAUAAAUAUAUGAAUAA